This 592-nucleotide long non-coding RNA is filed under the name Coturnix japonica (Japanese quail). RNAcentral's name for it is "lncRNA (ENSCJPG00005002391.1)". The record is from RNAcentral. Lineage: Eukaryota; Metazoa; Chordata; Aves; Galliformes; Phasianidae.
AUGGCCAGCCGUGCUUCCUCACCACCACCAUCAUCAUCAUCAUUGUCCCUUAUGGAGCGCUGCAGUGCCAUGGCCAGCUGGGCAUCCUCUUCAUCAUCAUCCUCCUCCUCUUUCUUGUCCUUCAUAGAGAGCUGUAGUACCAUUGCCAGUUGGGCUUCCUCCUCACCAUCAUCAUCCUCUUUCUUUUCCAUUAUGGAGCGCUGCAUUGCCAUGGCCAGCUGUGCUUCUUCCUCCUCCUCUUCCUCCUCUUCCUCCUUGUCCCUUAUGGAGCAUUGCAGUGCCAACAUCAGCUGUGCUUCCUCCUCAUCCUCCUCCUCAUCCUUGUCCCUUAUGGACCGUUGCAGUGCCAGUGCCAGCUGCGCAUCCUCCUCUUCCUCCUCCUCCUUCAUCUCCUUCAUGGAUCGCUGCAGUGCCAUCACCAGCUGUGCUUCCUCUUCAUCCUCCUCCUCCUCCUCCUUGUCCCUUAUGGACUGUUGCAGUGCCAUGGCCAGCUGUGCUUCCUCUUCNNNNNNNNNNNNNNNNNNNNNNNNNGGGCAUCCCUGUUAUGGUAAUCCCAUAGUAGAGUCAAAACUCAUUGGAGUCACGGGGCCAU